AUUAAAACAAAGGACAAAUUUGCAAAAUGCGCGUAACAUGAAGGGCCAAAAGGGAAAUUAAUCCUGCCCUUCCAAAACGCUGUACAACAUUGGAUUAAAAGAAAAUAGAUUUAAUAUGUCAUGGAAAAAUUUGAAAACAAAAAAAAUCAAUGGUUUUGAAAUGAUGGAAAACAUGAAAGGAUUAAAAACAUAAAUAACCCAUCAAUGCCUAAAACCCAUUUCAAAUCCUAAUUAAAAUCCCUACUCCAUUUGUAACAGCAGCAGCCGCAUUCAUCCUCUCCCCUGCUCUUCACGCCUAAACUUCCCCUUUCAAUCUUCGAUUCAGACGAAGCAUAGCAAGGGCAUCGACGGCGAACCAGCACUGCUUGUUGCAGGUACCACUAGUGAGAAGACGUGUGUAGCGUGCGCAGAGGCUACUGAACGUGGGCAGUUGCUGCGACGUGGGGCAUGUGGCGCCGGUUUGCUGCUAACCUGUGUUUGGCUAAUUUGGGCUAGUGCUAUUGGGCUGAAUGGUAUUGGGUCAUUUGGAUUUGGAUUAUUUGUAAAAAUGAACUGUUUAUUGUAUUUAUUAUUUUUUGUGGUCUAUUUAUUUGGGUCCGGACUAAAAUGGACUAUUACACACAUGUAAAUAGAUUUUUAAACAAACAUUAAAAUAGAUCUUAUUCUAUUGAAUCAUUUAUUUU
Gossypium raimondii (Peruvian cotton) is the source of this 683-nucleotide long non-coding RNA. RefSeq lists it as uncharacterized. The transcript is spliced from 2 exons. The record is from RefSeq and is a predicted model, not a curated record. NCBI's taxonomy places the organism in Eukaryota, Viridiplantae, Streptophyta, Magnoliopsida, Malvales, Malvaceae.